CUGAACUGAGCUCUGGCGCACUGAGCCUGAGAAGCCGAACUUGAUCCUGAAGGCUGUGGAGCCAUGAAGGGAUUUUCAGUGGAUUUACAAUUCGGAAAUCUCUUGCAGGUUUGCAGGGUGUGUGGGCUGGAAGGAGGACGCUAUUGGGAGGCCUUUAUGUAAUCCAGUGCUGGAUGAUGGGGAAGCGUGCAGACGCAGGAACUAAGUAGCCAGACUCUCCCUGGGUCUGCAGGCCACUUGCGGUCAUGAGGAUGCCGUGGUGGGUGCCUCUCAGAGUGCGUCCAGGGCAGGGCAGCCUGACAUAACCUUCAGGAGCCACGGUGACAAGACUCGGGGACAUGGCAACACAAGGUUUCUUUUCCUGGACCCUAGAGAAUCAAACAUAACGAAGGCUGGUUUCUCGGCAUUGCGGCGAUUGGAGACUUGGGAUCCGAAUUUAUUUGACUUGGAAAAAUAAAACAGGAUGACAUUUA
This is a long non-coding RNA of Peromyscus eremicus (cactus mouse), 473 nucleotides long. RefSeq lists it as uncharacterized. The transcript is spliced from 2 exons. The record is from RefSeq and is a predicted model, not a curated record. NCBI's taxonomy places the organism in Eukaryota, Metazoa, Chordata, Mammalia, Rodentia, Cricetidae.